UGCAUAGAUGUUAUGGAUGAUAAAAUUGUUUUGUCCUACAAUAUUCAUAUUUAUUUUUCAUUAAAUCAUAUUAUCAUCAUUUGUUUCUAAAAUCAUAUUCAGACGUGCAUAUAGAAUUUUCCGCGGCAACGCGUGGGGAAUCACAUAGUAUGCAUAAGUAAUUCUCACCACUCUCCAAUUAUCCAGAGUAUUCCAAAAUAUUCUCAAGUAUGCAUUGUUAUUUCUCAAUAGACCCAAAUCACACAACCUAAACAAGUCUACAGAGAUACAUCAUCAACGAGAUUAGAGACAUAUUUGCCUGGCCGCCUGCCCCAAUCAACAUCAAGGAGAUAAUCUGUAAGCAAUCCAUGCAUUGCGCAGCUCUCAGACGAGCGAGCGAACCAUGAAAAGGACAAGUAAUCGAACGAUCUGCCAUUACAUCAACACAAACAACCACUAAUGCAAAACAAAAAAGCGCACCGAAAACCAAUCAACAUCGACGAGAUUAAGCGUUCGCUAGGACCCGAGGACGCAAAAACUAACCACCCAAUCAACAGAAAGAUUAUGUUCCCGAUCAACAGGAAUCCACAGCACGCAAAGCAAAAAAAGUUGAAUGGUUUUGUCACCGGGAAAAUAUGAGAAAGGAGUUAGCGAUCCAUGGAACAUGUACAAGUAAUCGCUAGGAUGUGAGACUAAGCUAGCCACCAAACAACAUUAUUAAAUUAAACUCAUCACAACAUAAAAUCCUCCAAUGCAGGUAAACUCAUCGCAACAUUUGUCCCUCAAAACUCGCGACAUAAAAAAUCCCACAUGCAACAUAAGAAAAAAAUCACCACGGCAUAAAAAAAAUCCCACAUGAAACAUACAUGGCAUCGGAACAAAUUCCCUCGGAGCACACUCAUAAUUGUUGUAACAUAAUGCCCUUGUAUAUGUAGCAAAAAAA
This 922-nucleotide long non-coding RNA is filed under the name Brachypodium distachyon (stiff brome). RNAcentral describes it as "long non-coding RNA (BDIS_LNC006056)". Lineage: Eukaryota; Viridiplantae; Streptophyta; Magnoliopsida; Poales; Poaceae. The record is from RNAcentral.